GAUGAACGCUGGCGGCGUGCCUAAUACAUGCAAGUCGAGCGAACGGACGAGAAGCUUGCUUCUCUGAUGUUAGCGGCGGACGGGUGAGUAACACGUGGAUAACCUACCUAUAAGACUGGGAUAACUUCGGGAAACCGGAGCUAAUACCGGAUGAUAUUUUGAACCGCAUGGUUCAAAAGUGAAAGACGGUCUUGCUGUCACUUAUAGAUGGAUCCGCGCUGCAUUAGCUAGUUGGUAAGGUAACGGCUUACCAAGGCAACGAUGCAUAGCCGACCUGAGAGGGUGAUCGGCCACACUGGAACUGAGACACGGUCCAGACUCCUACGGGAGGCAGCAGUAGGGAAUCUUCCGCAAAGGGCGAAAGCCUGACGGAGCAACGCCGCGUGAGUGAUGAAGGUCUUCGGAUCGUAAAACUCCGUUAUUAGGGAAGAACAUAUGUGUAAGUAACUGUGCACAUCUUGACGGUACCUAAUCAGAAAGCCACGGCUAACUACGUG
Molecule: ribosomal RNA, 497 nt
Filed under: uncultured bacterium
Lineage: Bacteria
Description: partial 16S ribosomal RNA
Rfam family: Bacterial small subunit ribosomal RNA
Source: RNAcentral